RNAcentral lists this ribosomal RNA (500 nucleotides) under uncultured Acarosporales. RNAcentral's name for it is "eukaryotic LSU rRNA". The stretch from base 171 to 324 matches the Rfam family "5.8S ribosomal RNA". The record is from RNAcentral. Lineage: Eukaryota; Fungi; Ascomycota; Lecanoromycetes; Acarosporales.
CCGGGUCUCGACCUCUCCAACCCGCUGUUUAUUGACCACGUUGCCUCGGCGGACCAGCGGACGAGAGUCCGCCUCUGGCUCCCUCUGGGGGGCUUUUGAGCGUCCGCCGAUGGGACCAUUCUAAAACUCCUAUGAAAACAAGCCCUCUGAGUAAAAAUUUAAUACUUCAAAACUUUCGACAACGGAUCUCUUGGUUUUGGCAUCGAUGAAGAACGCAGCGAAAUGCGAUAAGUAAUGUGAAUUGCAGAAUUCAGUGAAUCAUCGAAUCUUUGAACGCACAUUGCGCCCUCCGGUAUUCCGGGGGGCAUGCCUGUUCGAGCGUCAUUGCACCACUCAAGCUCGGCUUGGUAUUGGGCCCUCAUCCCCGGUGGAUGUGCCCGGAAAUCAGCGGCGACGCGGCCGGGUUUCAGGUAGUAUCGACAUAUCUUCCGCCUGAAAACUCGGGCCCGGGUCUGCCGGACAACCCCCGUACUUCUCAGGUUGACCUCGGAUCAGGUAGG